UGGCGAGGAGCCGCGGACGGAUCACCUGCUCCUUGGUUUCCUGAACAGACAGGGAGAUGAAACGCAAGCAUGCAAACUUCAAGCUCUGAUCCCAAGGCCUCAACUAACAGCUGUGGCACCAUACCAUAACUUUGAUGUGACUCCUGUGGAAACAGUUUCAACAAACAGAGUGUGCCAGUGAAGGGAGUAAAUCAGCAGCCAGAGCAAGUUGGGGGCCAUACGUCAGAGCCGCAAAUUUCCAGUUUACAGUUUACAGCCGCAAGGAUAAGUCUGUGGAGGCAUGGCAACAGAAGCACACUCGCUAUGCUAAAACAGGAGAGAGAAUGCUGCCAGCAAUCUCAAAAUACCUUAAAAGAAAAAGUCACACGAGUUUGGAAUGACAUGAGAUAGUGGUGCGGAUGCUGGCUGAACUUUACCACUGCCUUGACGGAAGGUGAUUCUCUUCCGCCUCCUUCU
This is a long non-coding RNA of Sinocyclocheilus grahami, 456 nucleotides long. RefSeq lists it as uncharacterized. The transcript is spliced from 4 exons. The record is from RefSeq and is a predicted model, not a curated record. Lineage: Eukaryota; Metazoa; Chordata; Actinopteri; Cypriniformes; Cyprinidae.